GCCUUCGUGGUGUAACGGUAGCACACUCGGCGCGGAUUCGAGAGGUCCAGGUUCGAAUCCCAGCGAGGGCA
RNAcentral lists this transfer RNA (71 nucleotides) under Stegodyphus mimosarum. It matches the Rfam family "tRNA". From Rfam's summary of the family: Transfer RNA (tRNA) molecules are approximately 80 nucleotides in length. Their secondary structure includes four short double-helical elements and three loops (D, anti-codon, and T loops). Further hydrogen bonds mediate the characteristic L-shaped molecular structure. tRNAs have two regions of fundamental functional importance: the anti-codon, which is responsible for specific mRNA codon recognition, and the 3' end, to which the tRNAs corresponding amino acid is attached (by aminoacyl-tRNA synthetases). tRNAs cope with the degeneracy of the genetic code in two manners: having more than one tRNA (with a specific anti-codon) for a particular amino acid; and 'wobble' base-pairing, i.e. permitting non-standard base-pairing at the 3rd anti-codon position. The record is from Rfam by way of RNAcentral. Lineage: Eukaryota; Metazoa; Arthropoda; Arachnida; Araneae; Eresidae.